This 710-nucleotide ribosomal RNA is filed under the name uncultured bacterium. Its description in RNAcentral is "bacterial SSU rRNA". It matches the Rfam family "Bacterial small subunit ribosomal RNA", at positions 603 to 1314 of the family's 1533-position model. The record is from RNAcentral.
UAUGGNUCAACCAUAGUGUGCUCUGGAAACUGUCUGACUUGAGUGCAGAAGGGGAGAGUGGAAUUCCAUGUGUAGCGGUGAAAUGCGUAGAUAUAUGGAGGAACACCAGUGGCGAAAGCGGCUCUCUGGUCUGUCACUGACGCUGAGGCUCGAAAGCGUGGGUAGCGAACAGGAUUAGAUACCCUGGUAGUCCACGCCGUAAACGAUGAGUGCUAGGUGUUAGGCCCUUUCCGGGGCUUAGUGCCGGAGCUAACGCAAUAAGCACUCCGCCUGGGGAGUACGACCGCAAGGUUGAAACUCAAAGGAAUUGACGGGGGCCCGCACAAGCGGUGGAGCAUGUGGUUUAAUUCGAAGCAACGCGAAGAACCUUACCAGGUCUUGACAUCCCGAUGCUAUUCUUAGAGAUAGGAAGUUACUUCGGUACAACGGAGACAGGUGGUGCAUGGUUGUCGUCAGCUCGUGUCGUGAGAUGUUGGGUUNNNNNNNNNNACGAGCGCAACCCUUAUUGUUAGUUGCCAUCAUUAAGUUGGGCACUCUAGCGAGACUGCCGGUAAUAAACCGGAGGAAGGUGGGGAUGACGUCAAAUCAUCAUGCCCCUUAUGACCUGGGCUACACACGUGCUACAAUGGUCGGUACAACGAGUUGCGAGCCGGUGACGGCAAGCUAAUCUCUGGAAGCCGAUCUCAGUUCGGAUUGGAGGCUGCAACUCG